Gossypium raimondii (Peruvian cotton) is the source of this 1195-nucleotide long non-coding RNA. RefSeq lists it as uncharacterized. The record is from RefSeq and is a predicted model, not a curated record. NCBI's taxonomy places the organism in Eukaryota, Viridiplantae, Streptophyta, Magnoliopsida, Malvales, Malvaceae. The transcript has 2 exons.
UGUAAGCAAAGCAAAAUACAAAUUUCAAACCGCAAAAAGCAAUACAAAUUUUUGUGUACUCUGAUUUUUCGGUGGGUUGGGUGUCUUUUACCCUCUUUAUCCUCAAGAAGACAAAUUUCAAACUGCAAGAAGCAAUACAAAUUUGCAUAUUUUUCCAAACUACACUAAUAUCCAACCACUACACUCCAUCUAACAUUCAAAACUUUCACAAACUUUUCUGUACUCUGAUUUAUGGCAUCUUUGUUGGCAUAUAUAUAUACAUAUACACAAUAACAAAACCAUCUCUUUCACCUUUAAUUUUUCAUUUUCAAUGGCUAUAAUUCAUGGCCCUAACUGUUAAGCUAACCUAGAGAUUAGCCUACAGAGAUAAAACACUACUUUAAGUUUUAUUUUUUCAUUUUCAAUCUCCUCCUGUAGAGAUAAAACACUACUUUGAGCAGUUCGAUGAUGAAAGGAAGAGAAGGACUACAGUGUUUGGUUUUAUGAGCCAUUUGCCUGCUGGAAAUGCUACUGAGUUAUGGUUGAGUAGUGACGGGUUUGCUCUUACUUGAAAAAAGGAAAAAAAAAGAAUACAAAAUUAAUUUUGCUCUUACUUGAAAGAGAUUGACGGGUGGACCGAUGGUGACUACCUGACUGGUGAACAAUGAUGGUGGACCGGUGGUGACUGCCUGACUGAUGAAUGACGAUGGUGGUGGCCGAGCACUUGGGAGCAAAAGGAGCAAAGAACGAGCGAAAAUCGAAAAAUCGGAGCAAUCUACUAGAGCCACACAACCGUGUGACCUAAACAGGCUACCACAUGGUCAUGUCGUAGGUUGUGUCGCACGUCGUGUCUAUUUCAUGGAAUGGCGCACUAAACAGCGGAAAACACAUUUUUUAGGUUUUUUGGGCAUUCUAAGACGUAUAUAUGACAAAAAUAAGAAGAUAGGAGAGUGUUGUCAUAGAAUAUUCAAGAAAACAACUCGAAAAAAACCAUUGAAGCUAAUUCUGAAGCAGGUUUCCGUCAAGAUUGAAGAUUCCCAGUUGAUUUCUUAACAGAUUAUCACGAGUUUCUUUAUUUUUUUCGGUUAUGCUGUAUCUUAGAUGUAUUUAUUUUCAAGCAUGAACUAAUUUCUAAAUACCUAAGGAGAUGAAUCCUAUGAUGGAUUCUGUCAUUUGAUUUUUAUUUUACGCAAUAAACUUAGUUCCUUGUUCUCAA